This is a long non-coding RNA of Pipra filicauda (Wire-tailed manakin), 393 nucleotides long. RefSeq lists it as uncharacterized. Lineage: Eukaryota; Metazoa; Chordata; Aves; Passeriformes; Pipridae. The record is from RefSeq and is a predicted model, not a curated record. The transcript has 3 exons.
CUCCUGGGAUGGGGACUCCCUGGGCAGCCUGUGCCAGGGCCUGAGAGCUGUAUAAAUCAUAACAGACUUAAGAUUCAGAAACCAAAUCUUUGGCACCUACCAUGAAAAUCAGAAGAAAAUUCUCCCAAGUUCUCUCUGUUGCUAUUCCAGUUGCUAAGUCUGGAAUGCAGAACCAUCAGCAUUUACAGCCUGGCUGCAGACAGAAGUAGCUGAGGAAGCACCAGGUGGAAAUACCUCUGGCAUUGAGGCUCUGGCUCAUCAAACUCUGCUCUUGGACCUGAGCUCAUUCACCAUCCUGAAAGACUUGUGGGUGAACGAGCUGAGUGCUCUUUGGAAAGUUUUGGCCAAUAACUGAGUGAUUCUCAACGUUGUUAUUUCAUGCACAAAAUAAAA